CCUCCUCCUCCUCCUCCUCAUCUUCCUCUUCUUUUCCUUGCUCUUUUCAGCCUUGACCACCCCCUUCCUUCGCCUCACCAGGUUUUCCUUCAGCUCUGUAGACAGCGAUAUCCCUUUUGUGUUUUCCACUAGGUAUGUUUAUCAGAUGUGCUUUGAAUGUAAGACAGCUCCCACAGGCUUGUGUGUUUGCGGUGUACUAGCCACACAGUUUGGCAAGGUUGUGGAAACUUCUAAAGGAAGUGGGUCACUGGGGGCAGACCUUGAAGCUUUAUAGCCUCGUCCCACUUCGUCUUCAUCCCUGUUGCCGAAUUCUAGAUGUAACCAUGUAACGGGUCAGUUUCCUUCCUUACUCUGUACCACACCUUCCCUGCCUGCUGACGUGCCUUGCCUUCCACUGGUCCCUGAAACGGUAAGCCAAAAUAAGCCCUGUCUCUCUUAAAUUGCUUUUUAAAGUUAUAAUUAAAAUUUUUGAGAUAAUAUAAUCACAUUUCCCCCUUCCCUUACCUCCCUCUAAAACCCUCCCAUGUACUCCCUCUUGAUCUCAUUCAAAUUCAAGGCAUCUUUUUUUCUGUACUUGUUGAUGUAUAUUCCUAAAUGCAUAAAUACAACUGGCUCCAUCUGUAUAAUGUUAAUUGUAUGUAUAUGUUUUCCAGACUGACCAUCUGGUAUCAGAUAACCAACGGGUGUGCCCUUUAGUUGCCUAUUGGUCCUUUGUCUAGGGUUGAGGCCUCAGGAGCUUUCUAUCCUCCAUAUGACCACAUCUGUUGGUAUCAUCCUUGUUCAGAUGAUCCCUGUUAUGCCCAGAUCAUGAUCCCAAAGAGACCACUGAAGACUUUGGAUGUCCAGAAUGCAACAGCAAGGAUAUUUUAUCACAACAACAAGAAAAUAACACACCAGAAAGUACAAGAAGAUAGCAUUGGAUCCUCUGAGAUUGGAGUUGCAGACGGUUGUGAGCUGCCAUGCAGCUGUUGGCAAUCGAACGAGGUCCUCUGGAAGAGCAGCCAGUACCUAUAACCACUGAACCAUCUCUCCAGCACCUGAACGCCAAUAUCUUCAGGGUAAUAAUGAGCCACCUUUGACAUAAGAAAUGUAAACGACCCCAACAAAAUGUCAAACCUUCUUGUGAUCAUUAUUUUACUCGUCAGGAGAUCAAACUCAGAAGGCUCACUGAAGACGUUGCCACUGGGGUUGUAGGAGUUGCUUGCUUGCUCAGGACAGAUGCCAGUGCUGUUCACUUGAAGCUUCAGCCUUCUCCAUACAUCUCUGAGUUUUCAACGUUUGGCGUAUUUAUCCCUUGUAUUUUGGUUGGUAGUUUGGAACAUACUGAAUCCUGCAUUCUGUUGUUUUCCUCAGUCCUUAAGAGUCCUGGUCCUGUCAAACCUUUAACUGUUCCACUAUGUUAUUACAGCAUCACCUGCAUUUCUGGGUCAGUGCAUUAUCUUGCAGAACAGUUAUUUAGCAUCUGCUCGCCACAUAGAUGGUGGUGAGUAGGAUAUAUGCAACAAUAACAAAAUGCCAAGUAGUGUUGUUCAGCUUUCUACGGCCUCACAUUGGAAUGCCAAAAUGUUGUUGGCUGUUUUUGCUUUUUUUUUUUUUGUGGGCCCACCACCUAGCUCCUAAAUAAAUACACAGAGAGGCUUAUUCUUACUUAUGAAUGCCCGGCCUUAGCUUGGCUUGUUUCUUGCCAGCUUUUCUUAACUUAAAUUAUCCCAACUACCUUUUGCCUCUGGGCUUUUUCCUUUUCUUAUUCCUGUAUAUUUUACUUUUACUCUUACUCCAUGGCUAGCUGUGUGGCUGGCCCCUAGCUUCCUCCUCUCCUUCUUCUCUUCUCUUUCUUCUUCUCCUCUCAGAUUUCUUCUUCUAUUUAUUCUCUUUGCCUGCCAGCCCUGCUACCCUUUCUCCUGCCUUGCUAUUGGCAGCUCUUAAUUAGUUUUCAAGUGUUUUAGACAGGCACAGUAACACAGCUUCACAGAGGUAAACAAAUGCAACAUGAAAGAAUGCAACACAUCUUUGCAUCAUUAAACAAAUGUUCCACAGUAUAAACAAAUAUAACACACCUUAAAAUAAUAUUCUACAACAAAGUAGUUAGCUAUUAAGAAAUAGCUCCGCAUGAAUGAGCAUUUAUAGGCAAUUUUCUGCUCAUGACAGAAAUAGCACUGAUCACAAAUCAGGUUCACUUCUUUCUUCUGCCUCUGGGGAGACAGCAUGGCCCAGUGUCCUUUGCAGUUAACUGGUACCUUGUCCAUGUGACUUGUCUCUGGCCACUAGGAUGUGAGCAGCAGUGGCACAUGCUUCCCCCACUGGCCUCCUUUCUUCUCUUUUUCCUUCCCCAUCUUCAUCUCCUGAAAACAAAGAGAAUAAAUAAAAAAGAUUUCACGGACCCACAAGUUUCCAUGUGGAAGACUCUACUGAACACUGUGAAUCUUUUUUUUCUUUUUUUUAUAUUAUUGAAUCUACUUUUUUUUUCAUUUUUCUUUAUUAAGAAAUUUUCUACUCACUCUACAUACUACCAACAGAUCCCACCUCCUCCUCCCAAGCCCUCUCUCCCAAGCCAUCCCCACAUCCCCAAAAUCAAAGUCUCCCAUGGGGAGUCAGCAGAGCCUGGCACACUGAGCCUAGGCAAGUCCAAGCCCCUUCCCACUGCACCAAGGCUACACAAGGCAUCACACCGCAGGCACCGGAUUCCCAAAAGCCUGCCCAUGCACUAGGGAUGGAUCCUGAUCCCCCUGCCUGGGUGCUCCCCAAACAGUUCGAGCCAAACAACCAUCUUCCGUAUCCAGAGGGCCUAGUCCGGUCCCAUGGGGGCUCCACAGCCACUAGUCUACAGUUCAUGAGUUUCCACUAGGAACACUAUGAAUCUUACCAUGAUGUUUCAGUUGCAAUCUGGAAGUCGUUUGCUGUAACACCUAACAUCCCACAUGUUUGCCACAUGUGAGUUCCAGGUAUGUAUUCAGCAUUACACACAUCAGCCUCUCUAUUGCACACUUCUUCCUUUGUUCCUAUAGUUCUCUUGUCCUGAAAGUCCCCAUUUCCACAUCUUUACCCACUAAGACCCAGGGAUGUGACAGCACAAAUGCUCCUUCUAUGAAGGCUCGUUUCUUAUUAUAGGCAAAACGAUCCCGUUUCCCUCUGAACUGCCACAGAGCUCUAUUCUCUUUUUCACACUUUUAUAGCUGAGUCUUGGCCACCGUUGUAUCCCUAGCACUUAUUAGCCUGCAAUAGUAAUCAUUCAGUGAAAGAAUGGGGUGCAUUUAUUUCUUCUACAAGGUUGGAUAAAUUCUUCGUGUAAGGGAUCAUGUUACAGUCAUCUUUAUACUUCCCAGUGAUGGCUACAGAAGAACUUGGUUUAUGAUAGGUAUUCUAAAAAGUUGUGAAUGUAAAUUGCUGUUCAUGAUGUUGGAGAGGUACGGUUUAUUUACUUUUUUUAUUUAGGACAGUUAUUUAUCAGAGCCCUGUACAUAUUUAAAAACUAUGGGAAAUGUGUCAUUGAAUUGACCUACAUUCCUUCUGCUGAAGUUUUACACCUUCUCUGAGUCUCGGUUACCCCACCCCACCCUCUACCCCCUGGCCUCAGUGCUCUGGAGCAGGAGAAGGUUCUGUUGGCUUAAGCUAUUUCUGUCGAACUGAUGUAUUUACAGAAGGGAUGGUAAUGAUUCAGCUGCUGUAAAUCAAGGCCACUGCAUUAUUUCAGGGAAGAUGGGCUUUGGAGUCUUUUCGCUCAUAAUUUCUAAAUUAGUCACAAAUUCAUGCUUGUAUGUAGGUGGGGAAAUGGGAUAUAAUUGCUUUGGGGGAGGAAUUAGAAAGUUGGCAAUUGGUGGUGCCAAUGCUCUUACAAUCCAUCACUAAUCAGUAGUAUAAAAAAAGGAAAACAGAGCACAGCUGCUCUGUGAUUACACAACCAAGAAAUCUGAACCAUGCAAAAAGGUCCUAUGGUAAAAGCAACAUGCAGCUGCUAAAUGAGAAUAUGGUUAAUACCUGAGGGGCAAACACAAUUUGAUUUUGGAAAACACACCUAUGUAUUAAAAUUACUCACCCUCAAGGUGGGUGGUGGUGGUUCAUGCCUUUAAUUUCAGCACUCAGGAGGAAGAGGUAAGUGGAUCUCUGUGAGUUUGAGGCCAGCCUGGUCUACAGAGUGAGUUCCAAGACAGCCAAGGCUACACAAAGAAAUCCUGUCUUGAAAAACAAAGCAAAACAACAAAAAAAGUAAAAAGAAAAAAAUGCUCAUCCUUAGGAUGCAUGGAGCAUAUAUCUUUAAUCCUAGCGUUUGGGAGGUGGAGUUAGGAAGAGUCAGAGCCAGAGGUCAGGCUGUGAGACUCCAUGUAAAGCAACAAAAAUGAAAAAUUAAAUCAGCCAACCAAACAAAAAGGAAUAUACACCCCCUCCCCCGAUUCUAAUUGUGGAUAACUUCAGAUCAUGUCCUAAAAUAUAAAAAUAUAUUCGUGUCCAACAUUACAAAGGUAGGAAAAUAACACUUUCAACUUUAAGUGUACAAUGAAUUCCUGGUAUGUUCUUGUAAAUUUCAAACAAUAAGGAAGAGACGGAAAAAUUUAAAUAUUUACAAUCCUUUUCUAACCCCAGUGUUCUCUGCUUCUAGAAGAAAACUUGAUAGGAUUCUGUGCAAUUGUAAAAUAUGUAUUUGCUCAUAGAAGUAUGACGCAGCGAAGUACUCAUAUAAGCACCUCAUAUUGCAUAUAGUAUUCUACCACUUGUCAUUUAUUCAGCAAUUAUAGUCUGAAAACUUUCUAUAUCUGCUUCUCUGACACUCAGCAUAGGGAUUUACUACAUUUUAUAAGGUUUGCUUCUUUUUUAUUUUAUGAAUAUUAGUGUGUGCCUGCAUGUAUGUCUGUGCACUACAUGGGUGCAGUACCCACAGUGGCCAGAAGAGGGUCCUGGGUCACCUGGAACUAGAGUUAGAGAUGGUUGUGAAUUGCCAUGUGGGUGCUGGGAACUGAACUCGGGUCUUCUGCCAGGGCAGUGAGUGCUCUUAACCACUGAGCCAUCUCUCCAAUCUCUAGUACAUUUUCUAUAACCAGAGAUUUGCAUUACACUGGAAGUUUUAUUAUGAAUUGUCAUAGUUAAAAACCAUUUUUUAUGUCUAGCACGUGAACGGUUGUUCUUUGGUUAGAAACUGAAAAAUGAAAUAACUGUAUUAAAGGAUAUUUAUAACGAUUUUUUUUAACUGAUGAAUGUUCCUCAGUGAUUGACAUGGAUACUUGCUUGUCACUGUGAUAAAAUAUCCUGACAAAAGAAACUCUGGGGAGAACGGGUUUAUUUUGGAGAAUGGGUUUAUUUUGGCUUACAGACACAAUCAUACCAGGGAAAGUACAGCCAGAAGCAGUGAAUGCAUGAGGGCAGGCGGCUGGCGGGUCACUUUGCAUCUGCCCUCAGAAAAUGGCGAGUCAGCAGGAAGUGGAACCCAACUAUAAAUCCUCAAAGCUCACCUCCAGCAACCCACUCCCUGCAGCAAGGCUCAAUUACCUGAAGGUUCCACAACCUUGCCCAACAGUAAUGCCAGCCAGAGACCAAGUUUUGAAGUGUUCAAUCCCUUGGGGGGUGGGGUGCAUUUCACAUUCAAACCUCAACAGUGAUCAGUUAGACUGCUGGUUCUCAAUCUGCGGGUCGUGAACCCUUUCACAGGGGUCUCCUAAGACCUUUGGAAAACAGAUAUUUCCAGUACGAUUUGUAACAACAGCAAAAUUUUGAAUCACCUUGAUGGACUGAGUUAUUGUUGGUUGGUCUUUGGUCUUUUUUUUUGAGGGGGGGGCUGCCACCCAGCUCCCUAAUAAAUCACACACGGAGGUUUAUUCUUAAUUAUGAAUGCCCGGCCUUAGCUUGGCUUAGUUUCUUACCAGAUUUCUUAACUUAUUCCAACUACCUUUUGCCUGUGGACUUUUCCCACUCUCUAACUUCUGUAAAUCUUACUCUUACUCUGUGGCUUACUGUGUAGUUGGGUGGCUGGUCCCUGGAGUCCUUCUCUUUCUCUGGCUCCUAACUCUCCAAUUCCUCUUCCCAGAUUUUUCCUUCUAUUUAUACUCUCUGCCUGCCAGCCCCACCUAUCCUUUCUCCUGCCUCGCUAUUGACCAGUUCUUUAUUAGACCAUCAGGUGUUUUAGACAGGCACAUUAACACAGCUUCACAGAGUUAAACAAAUGCAACAUAAACAAAAGUAACACACCUUAAAAUAAUAUUCUACUACACUGAGUGGCCAAUUUAUUGACAAAUAUGGAUUGAACACUGUUGUUUUUUUAUCCCAAGUAUAAUGAAAACAAAUUGUAAAAUGUAUUUCUUUAAUAGGUGGCAUAGGCUAUAAAUAUUUAAAUAGAUAAACAGUAUUCCAUGUAGUAUAUGUGCUUUGAAAAAAAAAUAAUACACAGGUAGUACAGAUGAGACCAUCUGUAGGCAGGCAGAGAAGAGGAGGGGAGGGCAGGAAAGGGCGCUCACCCUCCAGAAUCUGAACAUUUCUCAUGAUCUCCAUCUCCCAAACUGAACAGCCAUCUUCCCUAAGCUUCCCCAAGAAGGGGACGAGAGAGAACAAAACUAGUAUCUGAACAUUUGGAAUAGGGAGAUGAUUCAAAGAGGCCCAAAGCAACAGCGAGCUAGGCAGUGUUGAAGUCUGUGGGGAGCGGAGGAAACCUGGGUAGUGACGUAAUGAGUGAAUGUGUGCUAUUGACAUGGACACAGCCAUGUCAAGGGCCCCCUAACAAAGGCUUCCUCAGGGGACAGAGUUUGAGUGUUGAGACUGAAGAAAAUGUCCACCACAGCCUCCCACCUCCCACCCCAGUUGUUUAUAGCCUAAAGACUGCUCCCCUACAGGGACUGUGAAGAACCAGCUUGCCUCCAUCUUAGGCCUAAAAGCUGUCUUACAGUAAAGGCAAACCAGGUUCAUUCCUGUUUAUGAUUAAACCUCUGUUUCUCAAGGAUUGGGCUAUGCCCCAAACUGUAACCUCAACUACACAUGGUCUUGUACUGCCUAUUCCAAGAAUGGCAAUAAUGUCUUUGUUUCAAAAAGUUGUUUAUUACCAUCUUGCAACCCUACCUUUGUUUUGAGAGGUUAUAUAAAUACCUAUGACUACCUUGUUACAAUUACCUGUUAUUUUGACUACCCGUUUUGCCCACCUUGUAACCGUGUCUGUGUUUCAGGAGGGACUAACUUGUUAUGUUUAUGUCCUGCUCCUGUGACCCUGCCUAUUUUGCCUGUCAAGUCCCCCACCUGGAAACCUCCUACCCCUGAGCUGUAAAAACCUUGUCUUCCUCACAUCCAAUGCUAAACCUCUCCAACCCCUCCUUAGGGGGAGGCAGCCCGUGUAUAUGAAUAAAAAAA
Molecule: long non-coding RNA, 7320 nt
Organism: Peromyscus californicus insignis
Lineage: Eukaryota; Metazoa; Chordata; Mammalia; Rodentia; Cricetidae
Exons: 4
Source: RefSeq, a predicted model, not a curated record